RNAcentral lists this long non-coding RNA (2198 nucleotides) under Homo sapiens (human). Its description in RNAcentral is "HSALNT0026013". Lineage: Eukaryota; Metazoa; Chordata; Mammalia; Primates; Hominidae. The record is from RNAcentral.
UCCUACUCUCUCCCAGAAACAGCAGCUCCUGAGUGCUCUGGCAGCCAUGGAGUCUCCUAUACAGUCCAAGAUGCUGCCUCCAUGGCCUCGGCUGGUCCCGGGGGUGAGGAAUGCCACAGGCUGUUACUCCAUUCCCCAAGCCUAACGUUCAGGCUCUGCAGCUGCAAGUCACUGGGGCCACUUCCCCAAAUCCCAGACACCCAGGAGUCCUAUGUGGCAGGCACUCCUUGUUUUAAAUUCUGGGAACAUCGGCUGUCGCCAUACAUUUAAUAUAGUGAUUAAAUAACAGGAGGACCUGAAGUAUCUUGGAAGGAAAACCUUCAUUGUUUGCAGGAACAGGCGAUCCUCUGAAAAUGCCUAUUCACAAAUGCACUUUAUUAAAAAACACAAACACACAUGCAGACUGAAAACGAGAGAACCACGGCCCCUGCUACAGCGAACACUGCCACGGAAUGGUGUCUGCGGAAGACCAAUAUCAUAAGGUGGAAAAAUAAAGGAAAUAAAAGAGCAAAUAAGAGGAAACGACAGCUCUCCUAAAAGCUGAUUUCAUGCCAUGUAUCUCUGGUAUAAUGGCGCGUGUUAGAGCUAAAAUUGAGGGCUUCAAAAACUGUUACCUGAGUUCUGAGUUUAAUCAUAUCGGCUUCCAUCUGGGAAUUGGAUUCAUUUAGCUCCUUGAUUUCUUCAUCUAACUGUUUGAUUUCUUCAUCAUUUUCUAUACCUGUAAUAAUGAAUAUUAGUAUGUUAAAACUGUUAUAUACAAAAAUAUUAGAGUUAGAAUUUUGGGAGCUUUCUUUGUUCCUUUUAUAUUCGUAAUUGAAUUUGCUUGGAAAAUAGACUCUUGAAUUAGAAAGGAAAAAAUCAUCACAAUCUCUGUGUCUUUCUAUUCCCUACCACCGCCCCUUCCCCACCUAAGUUCCCCUACAAAAAGGAACAAACAAUUGAGACGCACAGAAGACUCCCAGGCACUUUGAGGGUCGAGCUCCCAGGGACAGUUAACCUGGGUCUUAGAUGUAUCGAGGCAGAAACCACCUGGUCCUGAGUGCCGAUUUGCUGAGCCUGGCCUGUUUUCUCCUGCUUUUGUUCUCUCUCUCGACUCGCUGUCUGCAUCAGUCAUUCUGCAAACACCCCAGGCUUGGAGCCAGGCUCUGCAGGUACGUUCACCAACAAGGCCAGGUCCUCCCGCCCUCACUCAGGUCAGGUUCUGGGUCGGAAAAUGGGCAACAGACGUGUAACGACAAAUGCCGUCCAGCAAACGCUGAGGAUGACCUCACCUUACCCACCGACAGGAAGCUGUGGGAAGUGGGAGAGGGACAUGGGGGCUGGCCGGAGGGAGAUGGCCACAAAAGGGCUCUCUGAAUAUUCGACAUUUAGCAAAUAAAAAAUCUCAUUCUGAAUGAUUAAAAAGUAUGCACUAACUAACAGAAUUCCCAAUUUGUAAACUCUGCCAGAAUGAUGACCUCGGCCAGGUGUGUACCUGACCAUCUGAGUGUCCCUGGUGGGUGACUGCUGCCCUGCCGAGGUCCCUGGGGCACCUGGAUCAGUCCUGGCAUAGCUGGGCACAGGGCCCAGAUGCCCAUAUUUACAAAGGCCAUUCUGGACACUUGCUUCCCUGGCCGGCUGUGUCUGGUUACUGGCAACAUUACACUGCCAACGCCAAAGAGAAGGAGAUUCCUCUCUAUUUGUGACCACUUGACCUCACACAAUUGGGUGUACACAGAAGGAGAGCAGGAGUUUGGCAAACACAAUCACCCUAGAAAAUUCAGGAUUUGAGAUUGCUGUUCUCAUUGGCCACACAGCACCACAAUGGAUCUUUACUCAAAACUAAUGGAAAAUGUAUCCAGGCCUCCUAGGACUCCCAGUGGGUAGAUGCUGUUUUCAAGCUUUGCAGACAGAAGGGCAGAAGGGGUACAAUCAACCAGAGGCCGAGGCCUGAGAGCACCCCAAAAACCCUGCUGACAUCAGCAGAACAGAGGUGGAGGCUCCUCUCUACCAAGACGUUAGAAAGAUGAGAGUAAGAGAAAGUGAUGGAUCAGUGGGAUUGGGCCUUAGAUGCGGCUUUUAGUGAAACGAAAAAAAAGUUAUACCCUCAAGAUAAAAAUACCCAAUGCAAAAAAUCCCAAUUCAUAAAGCAACUAAAUUAUGAACGAACGUAUCAUUUCAGAAGCAUUCCCCACAAGCUUCUGUUAAACUGCAAGCAU